RNAcentral lists this transfer RNA (71 nucleotides) under marine eukaryotic metagenome. It matches the Rfam family "tRNA". From Rfam's summary of the family: Transfer RNA (tRNA) molecules are approximately 80 nucleotides in length. Their secondary structure includes four short double-helical elements and three loops (D, anti-codon, and T loops). The record is from RNAcentral.
GCGGGUAGCUCAGCUGGUUAGAGCGCUUCUCUUACACAGAAGAGGUCGCAGGUUCGAGUCCUGUCCUGCCC